AAAUCAACUUUCUGUGAAAAUCAUAUUUUAUAGUAUAAAUUAUAUUUUUUUAUUCAUGCUUUGGUAUUACGACUUUAGUUAAAUUCUGUUAGAUUGACUUUUAUGUUUUAAUGCAAUUGUUCUGUUAAGCUUACAGUCCCUGUUGCCUCGCCCAAUGUUCAAAAUAGUGCCUUGUCAGAGCUGUGGGGGAAAAAAAUGCUGCAAAUAAUUGAAGGGCAUUUUUUCUAGGACAACUGCGAAACGGCAUUCCAUGUGGGUCAUUUCGUGGUGUUACAUGAUAUGUUAAAUAAAAUUCAACCACGUUUGCGUAAUUUUGUUCACGUUGACAGCCACAUUUAAGGCCUCCAAAAAGUAGGCUUUGUAAAAUGUAUUUAUUUACCCUAUAUUCCUAUAUUUCUAUCCAUGGAAUGGAGACUUUUGAUAACAAGAUAUUCUUGUUUAAUAUCUGUUUAUAAGUAUUUUCACAAUAUACUCGCAAUAUACUCGAUGUUUUGUAUAGCCAGCAUCAACUAAGCCGAAGAUAAU
Molecule: non-coding RNA, 525 nt
Organism: Drosophila virilis
Lineage: Eukaryota; Metazoa; Arthropoda; Insecta; Diptera; Drosophilidae
Source: RefSeq, a predicted model, not a curated record